RNAcentral lists this ribosomal RNA (272 nucleotides) under uncultured bacterium. RNAcentral's name for it is "partial 16S ribosomal RNA". It matches the Rfam family "Bacterial small subunit ribosomal RNA", at positions 505 to 776 of the family's 1533-position model. The record is from RNAcentral.
GUGCCAGCCGCCGCGGUAAUACGUAGGGUGCAAGCGUUAAUCGGAAUUACUGGGCGUAAAGCGUGCGCAGGCGGUUGUGCAAGACAGAGGUGAAAUCCCCGGGCUUAACCUGGGAACUGCCUUUGUGACUGCACGGCUAGAGUGUGUCAGAGGGGGGUAGAAUUCCACGUGUAGCAGUGAAAUGCGUAGAUAUGUGGAGGAAUACCGAUGGCGAAGGCAGCCCCCUGGGAUAACACUGACGCUCAUGCACGAAAGCGUGGGGAGCAAACAGG